CCCAAGUCGCCGCUUGGUCCCAGCCGGCGGGCGAAGGCGGCCCCUCUCCGGACGCCCCGCCUCCGACUCCCGUUACACCCGGGGGAAGGUGUUCCAGAGGCCGCUCCCAUCCUCACCCCGCCUCCCGCUCUCCCGGCGCUAGCCUCUGCCGCCGGAGCCCACUAUGCCAGAUACUUUCGACACUUUGCAAAGACAAAGAGCCCUAGACCGGAGGGAGGCGAGAGGAGGAGGCAGAAGAGGAGGUAGAGGAGGACCCGGAGGUGUGAGCUGGUCGGGGUGAGUAUCCCGGACGCAUCUCCUUAGAUACCCCUCCGAACCUCCUCUGCACCCCAAGCCGGGCAACUCCGGUGUGUCUCCGGCGUUGGGCGAGUGCGCACCCAGCUGGUCGCUGUCCGGGUGCCCCAGGGACGGCGCCGCCUCGUGAGUUGGGGCUCGGGAAAUUCCGCAUGUGUUCUCUGAGUGCAGAGGUGAUCGCCCGGACCCCGGCACAGCAGGGGUGGGGAAGGGACUUAGGAAGGUAUGGUUGGCAGAGGAAGUGGGGCCGAAGACCCUAGGCGCCGAGAGGGAGAGAGCUCCGUCUCAGCCACGGCCACCACGGUGGUCUCAGGAAGAGUGUCAGGGAGGAGACUCCAGCUCUGAGGAUCCAGGCUCUUUGGCGCUUAACGGAGGAGCCUCCCGGAGCUCAGUGGGGGAGCCUACGGUGAUGGUGGCAGCUAUUCCCGGAGCGGCCGCGGUGACAUUGCACCCAGCACCGCAGUAGCUCCUAGCCCGGGCCGCGGGUAGCAGACUCCAUCAGGGGCUGCUUGCCCACACUCUCUAGAGAAGCCGAGGUCUUGGGCUGGGACACUGUGGGGACGCUUGGAGGCCGUUGGUUAUCUAGACCAGAGAUAGUGGGACAGUGUCCGGGAUGGAGUCUCCCAAUCCGCUGUGAGCAGGCGCAGACCCGGGAGGAGGCUGUGGGCCCCCGGGACACCUCUAAUCCCGCGCUGCGCCGGAUCUCCGGGACAAGUUGGCUCUUAGGACAGGACAGCUGCAUGAGGUGUGUUGGAAAGCCGGUGGAUUAGCGUGGGCAAAGGGAGCAGGCGGUGGCAACUCGAAACUUGGGAGUCUGCCCCAACCCUGUUAGGCGCCUCAGCUGCCAAGAAACAAUGUGACAAAAGUUAGCAACUUGUCCGUGUCUCUGUAAUGUGACGUGCGCAGGGCACAGUCCUCCGCCCCUUUGAUGAGUGCACCGGGGUGGGAAACCGUUGACACCGGGCAAGGCGACUCGGUUGGAGUACUGUUAGCUCCGAAUCGGACCGUUGCGCAAGCAACUUUGAGCCCUUGGAGUUUUUUAUUUGCUUGUUUGGUUGUUUUUUUUUUUUUUUAUCUUUUCUACGUGUGAGUGUUUGAGCGUGACCUUGCGGGAGGCAGCGCGGCUGAACUCGAGAUGGGCAUUGAGUUGACCGGUGCCCCCCUCGUGGUACAGACUUGACUUUGAUGAACUGAAAAUGCCAUCAAGAAGUGGCUGUCAUCUCCCCGGGCUGUGCUAAGUGAGCUAGGUUCAGAGCUGUGGAACCGGAAAGUUGUGUCUGUGUCUCAGCCUCCUGAGGUGAGUGACUGCCUCCACCAUGUGAGGGAGAUGUGCUGUGUUUUCCAGACUCUCCCACGAGGCUAUGCUGUGGCUUGCGUUGGGGGAUGAGAAAAAUAACCUGUCUUUUCCACACUUGGAAUUAUGUUGAGGGCUUGGACAAGGGAUGAGACAUGUGCUGUGUUUUCCAGGCUCUUCUGUGGGCUGUGUAGCAGAGCAAGGGGUGUUGCCCUGUUUUCUUAGACUCUUUGUAGUGUGACCUGCCAGCCAUGUGGGCCUGCUCUCCUCUGGAAGUGCAGAGCGGGCUUCUAAUGGAGAGCUUUGCAGUUCUUGUGGACAGUGGCCAUUCUUCCAUGACAAGUGAACAUCAUUACAGAUAAGGCCUGGCCUGUCACUGCUGCAGUCUACAUCAAGUGCUACACGGUGGCUCUGAGGACAGACCUCAUGAGACACACUUGUCACUUGCUCUGUGUCCUGGGCAUCUAGAUCUGAAGAUGGCUUGUCUGCUGUGAGGAAACAGUUUUCUGUUGGUGCCUUGGUGCCUCUCUGGGGAAAAUGGUGUGGCAGCCACAAUGAGGUCCUGCGUGUAUGCAUUCCUACCUUACAUUCUGAGCACAGUGCUAGCAAAGAUGUGUGUAUAUAUCUAUGUAGGACAAAUGUGUGUGUGGUGUGUGUGUGGUGUGUGUGUGUGUGUGUGUGUGUGUGUGUGUGGUAUGUGUGUGUGUGUGGUGUGUGUGGUGUGUGUGUGUGUGUGUGUGUGUACAUAAAUUCACAUCUAUAAACAUCAUCCAGGUUAUUACUAAGUAAACUGUAUUGGUAACUUUCCUCCUCACUGACAAAAGGUGACUUAAGAAAGGGUUAAUUGCAGCCCACGGUGUGAGGUCUAGUCAGUCCCUUAUGGCAGAGAAGUUAUGGUGUCAGGAGUCUGAUGCAGCUGGUCACGUGGCAUGCACAGUCAGGAGCUUGCUCUCUCCUUCUGAUUUAGUUCAAGACACCAGCCCACUCAUGGGUACCACCACGAUUAGGGUAGACAUUCCUGCUUCAACUAAUUCAACCUAGAAGUCCCCCACCCACAAAAGCAAAGCCAGAGGUUUGUUUCUGAACAAUGACAACUCUGACUAACCCUCGUCAAGCUGAGGAGCCGACCGUUGUGUUGACUUACCUGCAUAGCCACUACAUCAGGAAUUCCUGCUGAUGAUGCUAGAGCAUCCGUGAAAUUCCAGUCUAUAUUGCUGUAUAUGGCUCAGCACCACGCCAAACACCAGAUUCACUGAACUGUCAGUCAUGCGGCAAUAUGGUACCAUGAACGCACUGCCUCGGAAAGCAGCCAUUUACAGUGAGCAUCUGUCUUAGGGUUCUGCUCACAUGGAAAGGCCCAGGGAGGCUUCAUACGUGAGAAAGAAAACCCAAAGCAGAGGGUGAGUGUCACAGAUGUCACCAAGUACCUCACAGACACUCCCGAAGGGAAGGUAGACUUGUUUCGGCUUAUGAUUUAAGGGGACAUGAGCCACCAUAGUGGUACAGACAAGACGGCAGUGUGUGAACACAGUGAGAAGGCAGCACAUGGCGGCAUUUUGUCCUGAGCUUAGAGUGGGAGGAAGACUUGAGAACUCUCUUCUCUUGCCCUGGAUCUACCUGGCUGAGUUGCAGGAGUAGCAAGGAAGUGAUGGGGAAAGUACUUCUGUGUAUGUUCAUCUUAUUGAUUGUUGAAUAAAAUACUGUUUGGCCAAUGGCAGCAAGUUAGACAGGACUAGGAGUCAAAGAGGAUUCUGGGAAAUGUAGUAGAGAAGUGGUGAUCCAGGCAGGAAGUGACAUAGCAAGGAGACUCAUAUUUAGUAAGGAGAAACAGGAAGUGUCCCCCCUCCCCCUUGGCCUCCUCCAGAGGUGGAAUGUGAGCCACCGGCAAGGAGGGCGCCAAUAAGGCGUCCGAUAAGAUAAGUCUUAUAAAAUAUAUAGAUUUAUGAUAAGUAAGACUGAGCUAACAAAUGAGGAUCCUAGUCAUUGGCCUAGCAGCUUUGUACCUAAUAUAAGUCUCUGUAUUAUUUUGUCCAUCCACGUGGCGGUGGGUCUCGGGCAGCCUUGGCGGAAAGAUUUAUCGUAACAAGGAAGCCUUAACUUGAACACGGCUGUAUUCCCAACAUCAGGCGACAAACACUAGUUUCCCUCAUGGGUCCACAAGUGUUUCUGUGUUCUUGGAGGUGUCAGGUGCUGUUCUAGACCAAGACCCAGAGAGUUCCCGUCCUAGCCGGGAGUGGCACGGGGGGAGAAGGAAAUAUUCGUAGAAGUGGCAGGAUAGUGGGCAGGGGCCCAGGGGUGUGCAGUUGUGUGGGCAACAGAGACCUGAGCAUGUGCCUGUGGGGACCCCGCCCCCACUGCCAAUGGGUGAGAAAUGUCUAUGACUGUUGGUCACACAUCAUGACAGGCAUGUUCCCUCCUUAGUAGGGGCUAUGGCCCUGUAGAGAACAAAGCUUGUUUCUGCCCCCACACAUUCAGGCGUGGAAACUCUCAGGGCUAAGUUAUUUCCUCUAAAAACAGCAGGCCGUGUUAUCAGCCUGACCAGAGACAGCCUGCAGGCCAGGCUCUGGGUAACUCAGAUAAGAGGGCAUGGUGACAGUCCCCAGAUACUGACCUGGGUGGGGAGGACCCUGUGGAAUUUCCACUGUUGAUAGCUUUUGAGGAGAAGGUGGCAGUGUCAAGAGCAGGUGCCCCUUCCCUGGAAGAGGGGAGACACAGGGUAUUUGCCUGUCCGAAAGGCCCUCAGAUGGCGAAGGAGUAGCCUGUACGGGGGAUUUAACGAGUGAACCGGAUGGGUGUGUGAGAAGGAAAAGAAGAUAGCUUUUGUUUCUGUCUGUGCUUCCCCUCUGUGGUUUCUUGGCAGGCACUCAUGGGCGCCUCUAGCCCCGGGCACUGGGGGUUAAAGGAAUCGGCAGGUGCCUUACCUCUGGGAUGCUGAUAGCCAAGGCAAGGAGAAACAGACAGAUCCAUCGGUUAUUGGCAGGCACGGAGCAUUGUUCUGGCUUUGUGGAGCUUGAGACAUUUGCAGUUUGGAGCUGGCUAUAAAGAAGUAAUAUACUAAUUCAUAGAUUUAAAAUAAAAUAUAAGCCUUGGUAAGUGGGGUGCUCUGGGGAUGGGGUACCACUGUCCUGGCAUGGGCCAGUCUCAGUCUCCAGUGGAUUUGCAGCUGAGGGACUAUUAUCAGGUCUUCUCUCCUGGGUCUCUGGAGAUUGUCAGUGGGGAGCAGGUCAUUUUCCGAUGCCUGGACAUAUACUCAGAAGGACGGCCACUGGCUGGACAGCAACGUCCACACUAGUACUUGGUAGCAUGGGUGUUCCUGUCCUCAUUUUCUGUCUGAUGAGAUGGGAUAAAGUCUUUUGUUCCAUUUGUGCUGAUGGGGUGUUCAACGACACAUUCUGUACAGUCUUCAGGCCAACUGUGGUGCUUUGAGAAUGGCCUGGCCCCCUGAGGCUUAUGUAUUUAAAUACUUAGUCACCAGGGAGUGGAACUGUUUAAGAAGGAUUAGGAGGAUUAGAAGGCGUGGCCUUGCUGGAGGAAUUAUGUUCCUGGGGUGGGCUUUGAGGUUUGAAAAACCCACACCAGGCCCAGUCUCAGUCUCAGUCUCAGUCUCUCUCUCUCUCUCUCUCUCUCUGCCUGUUGCCGUCAGAUCAGGAUGUAAAGGUCGAAUCUACUGCUCAAAUCACAGUGCCUGUCUGCCUGUUGCCAUGACGAUCAUGAACUAGCCCUUAAAGACUCUAACUCUAAUUAGAUGUGUUCCUUCAUAGGACUUGCCUUGAUUGUGGUGUUUGUUCAUGGCAACAGAAAGGUAACAAAGACCUAGUGAUCCCACUUCUGGGCUGCGCCCUAAGGACCAGCUGAGCUGCUGGAGCACUGAGCUAAGUGUGCCUGGAGCAUGUGGGAGUGCCUCCCAAGGCUUGGCUGGAGGUAAUUUCUAAGAGUACAUGGUCAGUCACUUUGGGAACUAGCUAGUGCACCCCAGGUGCACCCCACUUACCAAGAGCUUGUAUUUUGCUUUAAAUAUGCGACUUUGAAGGGACCAGCUCCCCUUUCGGCAGUCAUAGCGGCCGAACACGUGCUUGUAUGACCUUGUCCUGGACACUAGAAAGUCAGAUGCCUGCCUCGUGACAAGGAACCAAUCAGAAGUUAGCUGGUGGCGCUAUGCUUUACAACCCUGGCUGUACUUUACAGACAAACACACAGCAAUGACGCAAAGCAUAGCAACCACCCUGGGAGGGCCUAUGGGCCAUAACAACCAGUUGGCCAAUCAACACAGGGCAAUCCCUCCAAGGCUGGAGGCACACCAAUAGUGAGCCUGUGUGUACCCCUAGACACUCCCCUUAAGCUGCCCUAUAAGAUCUCCGUCCUGUGGCUUCUCAGAGUCUUUUGCGAGCCAUCCACCAUGGCUGAAAGACCAUGAGUGAAAGACCCGAGCUAACAUGGGGUUAGCUCGUUAAAUUACAAUAAAGCCUCAUGCAAUUUGCAGCAAGCUCUCGAAUCUGCCUGGUGAUUGGGGUGACCAUGGUCGUGGCCUGGGACCCCAGAUACCUGAGUUUUCCAGGGGUCUACAACUUUAUAUAGUGUUUUCUUGGAGAUAACUCCAAACUGUGCAAGAUUUUUAUGGAACACAGGCACAGGGUUGUUUAGUAAGGAACCCCCAGGCCCAUGGCUUUGAGCUGGGCUUUGAAGUUGCAGUGUGUUUCCAGAGCCUUGCCCGUAAGCUCUGUUGCCUCUAGGAUUCUUGUUUCUAAGUCUUUGACAGCUUCUAGUACUCAGGGAAAUAGCAUGAGUGGCCAAGUCCAGGAACAGAAUUAAAUAAAAUAUAACUUAGAAUGGAGUCAUUCAUAGUGAGUCCGUGUAUGAUUUCCUAGAACGAUGGGGUGUUCCGGAUACUAGAUGCUAAGGGGAAAGUCCUGUGUAUGUCCAGAAAAAAAAUGGAGAGAGAGGGCAGGGCAUGUUAGUUCUCUAUCCAGCUUACAUACCCUCAGUUGGGCUUGUUACAGCAACUCAUUUGCCUACACAUCCCAGUGCCUGUUCCAUUGUCCUGACCCUGGAGACACAGCAGCUUUUAAAGGUUGGGACCAGGAGUGUUCCUGCACUUGUGUGGCCUCUCUGCUCCUUCUCUCCUGUAGCAGAUGUAACUCACACCAGCCUCCCUUAGAUCUGCCACUCCCCUCCUGGGGAACGUAUAUUUCCAGUCAACCACUGUGGCCAGGCCCAGUGUCGCAGGAAGAGAGGGCCACCAGGGGCAUGAAAUUUUCACAGGUGCUUUUAGAAGGUAGCCCCAUACAUUUGAGUCUUUCACUCUUCACCAAUGACCAGUUCUGGGUCUGCUCAUGCCCAGAUGGCCGGUAUUCAGGCAUUUACAGGUUCUGCAGAUGAUCUGAGUUCCAGACACACUUCCCUCUGCAUCCUUCUUCCUUCUUGUAACCUCCAUGUUCAUAAUAUCCCUGGGAUAGAGUCCGAGUUCUGUGGGAGGAAGAACAAGACUCCCAAAGUCCCUAGCCUCAUCCUAGCUCUCCCAACCCCCUGCUAGGCACAGAGCAACCUUCAGAGCAGCGAUUAGUGUGGUCUGGGUGCAAAUCACAUGUCUGCUACUCACCGAGUCAUCCUGGCCUCACUUUCCUUACCUGUGAAAUGGACAGAGUCGCUAGUGAUAGCCUGGAUUGAUUACUUUACAAAAAAGGGCUGAGUCCUUCUAGAUACAGCCCACGCCGUUGGGCAGCAUGAGACAGAGGAGUUGUUGGUAGGUGUCGAUGGUGUACAACAGUUUAUUCUGAGCCAAAUAUAAGUGCCCGUGGGUCCGUCGGGAACACAGAUUCAAGUUGCCCCCCAAAAUGUAGUUCCCCAUGAAGUGGUAACAUGGACUCAAUGUUACAGAACAAAAGAAACUCCUAAAGCAACACUUUUGCCUAAGACUUUAGUGGGAACAUCAGGCAGGCGGGCAGGCUACAUCAAAGGGGGUGGAAUAUCUCUGCUACAGAUCUCAGCAGCUGUGUGAUGACAUGCUUAGCUUUUGAUUCACGGGUGGGAGCUGGUGGAGUGCUAACACACACUGAAGGUUUCACUUGAAGUUAAAAGGACAUGCGGCCAGAUAUCAAGGUAGUUGACAAAUGGAUAUUAAGAAGACUUAAAUGUCGCCCAUAAUAUUGGCUUAGGAGAUGUCUUGUGUAGCCAGGCUGGCUUUGAACUUGCUUUGUAGCUGAGGUUGACCUUGAACUUCUGCUCCUCCUACCUCUGCUUCCCCUGUGUUGAGAUUACAAGCAUGCCACACUAUGCCCUGGACGUGGUAAUUAAGCACUCUGCGAACUGAGUUGCACCUCCAGUGCAGGCCAGGAUACUUUUCUCUCUGACUACAACAGUUUAGCCACCCACAAUUACUGAGAGUCUGCAAAACCUUCAACAUAGGCAUGGCUUUUUUUUUUUUCUUUCUGUGAACUUGAGUCCACAACAAAGGGUGGAGUGGCCGUGGAGUGGACAUAAUUGUGAUGUCCUAGUUCUCGUGACCCCUCCAGAUGGGAACCUGCUGUGUGCCUCAGGGACUUCAAGCCCCUGGGGUUUGCAUAUGCUCUUCCUCCCUGAGGGGGGGGGCAUCUUCCCCGACCUCCUAAUGAGUCAUUUGUCAUCUCUUCUUCAAAACUCAGUGUUACACACACACACACACACACCACACACACACUCACCCUGUCUUCUGGAAAUCAUCCCUUCCCUUCCCAUUUCCAUUGUCACCUCAUCUGCAGCCAGGCUUCACCCUUUGACAUCUCCCAUCCCUCCUGUUGCACCACACUGUCACCCUGGCCAGUCCUCAGUAGCCCAGUGCACGCUCCUGGGAGGGGUAGGACUGGUGUCUCCUUCCCUUGUGAGCUCUUACCUGUGCCAAGUGCAGCUUUUCCUUUCUAGUACUGAGGAAGGUGGUGAACCAGGCACCAGUCAUUCCCAAAGCACUAGAAAGCGCAACCCAAAGCCAGGCUAUUUCACACCGCUCUCAGCACCACAGGCUGGCCCACCUGAUGUAGUGUUUAGCACUACUUUCAGAGUGUGUCAAGCUGAAGGGGUGAGGGUUAGGCAGAUCUUCCGGGAAUCUGUCACUCUCCUCCUCAGCCUCCUCAGCCUCCUCAGGUCCCAGCUAUCCUGUGACACCAACUUGGACCUAGUUUUAGGGCAAUGGAAACUGAAGAUUCUGUGGGCUUGGGGGUCUUGACUUUGGGAACCUUUGCUCUUUUUGGAUACUGGCCCAAACCCUGCCACUCAUAUGUCUGCAUGCCUCCCACUUUCCUAAGCAAAUACAGCCAAGGAGCCUUCAGCCCUUUCUGAAACCAAUGCCUGGGUGUGGAGCAGGAGAAGGAAGGAGGAGAAGGGUAACAGAGCCAGCCUGCCUGUGAUCCAUUUGGCAAGCCUUUAUUCUGCAUCUCACAGCAAGUCCAAGAGGACUGUUCGAGGAAGACACGUCACUGUGUUGCUCAAUGGUUUUUGUGUAAACACUUUCCUAAGCACUGAAGUUACCCUCUGUGUCCAGAGUAAAGGCCAUCAGGAAAAAAAAAAAAAAAAAAAAACAGGAAAGGGACUUCAAGGCUGGAGGCACAGAUUUGCUUUUCUUUGUCAACUAGAAUAGAAUCUUUUCCCUUCUCAUAGCAGCCUCUACAGAUGGGCAGUGUGCUCAACAGGGGCCUCUAGGGGUCAGGGACCAUCUCUUUCCACCUCGAGUCCUGUACUUGGGUCAAGGAGUCACUCUGAGAGUAUUCCAGGAAUCACCGUGAGCAGUCAUUGUGCUGCACCGUUGUUGCGUAAUAUCCCAGCAAACAGCGGUAGAAGCUGGAAGUUUCCGUCCCCCUCUGUUGCUGUAUAUUUGUAUGUCAUGCAUAUCAAGGUACGUGAUCGUCAUGGUUACUGUCACCGGCCCUGUGAUGUUGUGAUCAUUUCCCUCUGUUUGAACUGUGUUCCUGGGAUGAGGAGCGAGCGAGACACUGGAACUGCUUUGAUAAUUUCUGCCACCUGUUUGCUGCGGUGACCUGGCUGUGGAAGAAAGCCAGGAAGACUGGGAACAGGAGCUGGAAAAUGAUCCCAAGAGGCUGGGAGGGGGACAGGGCAAAAGCCAAGGAGAUUCCACAGCUGGUGGGAUCGUGUGACAGGCAAGUGGAUCUUUUUUCUGUGGGGUUCAGUGUCCAGGUCAUGGAGAAGUAGGAGCAAGGGGUCAGGCCAGGAAGAGGCAGGAAAUGGGGCUAAGGGUGCUUGUUUCUGAUAUGAACAGAACCCAUUCUCCAAUCUUGCCCUCAUUAGGGGCUGUCUCGUGGACAGGUAAUGAGCUGCACUGGACUGUGACCCACUUCGGGUCAGCCUUGGUUGUUGAUGCCCCACAGGGCAAAAAAUGGCACAAGCAUGGCCUGUGGUUCUCUGUGUGCAGGGCCUGCAGGCCAUUUGUACCAGGUGAUGGUAUUUUAGUGCUCCAUGAAAUCUCGAGGGCCUUUGGACCACGAAGGAGGAAUGCCCACAUUCUGUGGAAAUUCAGGGGCUUCCACGAUUCCAGUAUCCGAUGGAAACCAGAGAGCCCUGGCUCUGCUAAGUGCCCUGAAGUCCAGAAAUACUUAAUAGUGUACACCAGACUUCAUCUGUGUAUGCUCGGAUG
Molecule: long non-coding RNA, 10205 nt
Filed under: Cricetulus griseus (Chinese hamster)
Lineage: Eukaryota; Metazoa; Chordata; Mammalia; Rodentia; Cricetidae
Description: lncRNA (ENSCGRG00015033466.1)
Source: RNAcentral